Molecule: ribosomal RNA, 384 nt
Filed under: uncultured bacterium
Lineage: Bacteria
Description: bacterial SSU rRNA
Rfam family: Bacterial small subunit ribosomal RNA
Source: RNAcentral
GUGCCAGCCGCCGCGGUAAUACGUAGGGGGCGAGCGUUAUCCGGAUUUAUUGGGCGUAAAGGGUGCGUAGGCGGUUUAUUAAGUCUAAGAUUAAAGCCCGAGGCUUAACCUCGGUUCGUCUUAGAAACUGAUAGACUUGAGUAUGGUAGAGGCAAGUGGAAUUUCUAGUGUAGCGGUUAAAUGCGUAGAUAUUAGAAGGAACACCAGUGGCGAAGGCGGCUUGCUGGGCCAUCACUGACGCUGAGGCACGAAAGCGUGGGGAGCAAAUAGGAUUAGAUACCCUAGUAGUCCACGCCGUAAACGAUGAGUACUAAGUGUCGGGUAACCGGUGCUGAAGUUAACACAUUAAGUACUCCGCCUGAGUAGUACGGUCGCAAGGCUGAA